UAGAGGUUUUUUCUUUGAUUUUAUUGGGGUUUUCCACAGCUGGGUUUUCUCAAAAUAAUUAUUAAGUGCAGUUGAAUGCAAAUUAGUAUGCAUCCACGAUACAGCCUAAUAAGCCUGCUAUGAUAAUUACUAUCAUACUGGCCCCAAUUUAGGAAUCCAGAUGGCGUGAUUUUGUCUAUUGAGAAAUCACGCCAUGUCCAGCAGCAACAACAAAUAAAUAAAGACGUGCCCACAAAUUAGGGAGUUGACUAUACAAAAUGGUUGCCUAAAUUGUUGACGCUUUCACAAACAACUGUUUUUUACACCAGCCUCUCUUUAAGUGUGUAUACUUAAUGUAUGAUUUGUGUUUGCUAUCAGAGCCCUAUGCAAACUGAUAAGAUUUAGAAGUAUUUCAUAACGCUGAGAGUGCAAAACGGCGAAAAACAAGUGUGUAUUACAAUACUUCUAUUGAUAAACUUGACAAUUGCUCGAACAAUCUUUUGAAGAAUGACAUUGCAUAUUGAAUAUUGAAACUUUGAACGAGUAUUGGAAAGAAUAACUGAACUGAACUAAACAACACAGCACAGGCAAACCGGCUGUGCCUUACAAAGAGAAAGAGAGACAACAAAAUAAACAAGCACAUAAAUUGCAUAUAAGGCGUGUGUGUGAGUGACUGCCAACAUACUUAUACACAUGCAUAUGCAUAUGCGCUAAAUAAGUGUGUGUGUGCUUGCAUAUGUUGUGUUUGCUUAUUGGGGAAAGUUCAACUCAAA
This is a long non-coding RNA of Drosophila sulfurigaster albostrigata, 752 nucleotides long. RefSeq lists it as uncharacterized. The transcript is spliced from 2 exons. NCBI's taxonomy places the organism in Eukaryota, Metazoa, Arthropoda, Insecta, Diptera, Drosophilidae. The record is from RefSeq and is a predicted model, not a curated record.